Non-coding RNA from Chrysemys picta bellii (western painted turtle), 802 nucleotides. Lineage: Eukaryota; Metazoa; Chordata; Testudines; Emydidae. The record is from RefSeq and is a predicted model, not a curated record.
CUGCAGGGGUCCCUCGGCUGGCAGCGUGGACCUGUCCCCGGUGCUGGGUUCUCCAUACAGGGGAUCCCCAGAGUGGGGGGAGGUUCUAGGCUCUGCCCCCACCCCGGUGGCACUGACCCCCCGUCUCUCCCCAGCCCGGGUGACCCAGCUGGUGCGCGGAUUCUCUACCACGUGGAAGGCCUCGGUGGAAUCGCUGAGCCAGGACGUCAUGAGAUCCUUCAGCAACUUCAAAAACGGGACCAGCAUCAUCCAGGGGGCACUGACCCAGCUGAUCCAGUACUACCACCGCUUCCACAAGGUGCUAGCGCAGCCGCCCCUGCGCGCCCUGCCGGCCCGCGCCGAGCUCAUCAACAUCCACCACCUCAUGGUGGAGCUGAAAAAACACAAGCCCAACUUCUAGGAGAGGGGAACCCGCGGCCCCCAACCCUGCCCCCGGCCUGGGCGGGGGGGGAUUGGCACAGCCCCCUCCCCCGCGUGGGCACAGGGGGGUCUGUGCCCCCUCUCCCCAAUGCACUGGGGGGAGUGGAAGAUCCUUGUCCCACUCUUCCCUUCUCCCCCUGCUGCUGUAACCCCCCGGGACCAGUCCAACCCCAGUGCUCCCCACCAACCUGUGGGGCCCCUAUGGUUGGGGGGCAGCCCCAGGCUGUCAGCACCCCUCUCUACCCUGCGGUGGCUCCCCACGAGGGAGGGGGAAGGUGAGGGACCUGCAGGUGGGUGUCAGGGGGGCUCUCCCUCCCUUCCAGGUGGCUUGUGUGUUUGUGUAUCUGGCUUUGUACAGUGACAAUAAACUCCCUGCUACUCA